AGCCCCGUAGUGUAGUGGCCAUAAAUAAACCAUAGAAGCACGCGAGGCUUUGGCCCUCGAAACUGCGGUUCGAAUCCGCACGGGGCUA
This 88-nucleotide transfer RNA is filed under the name Candidatus Aenigmatarchaeota archaeon. Its description in RNAcentral is "tRNA-Gln". It matches the Rfam family "tRNA". Rfam says of the family: Transfer RNA (tRNA) molecules are approximately 80 nucleotides in length. Their secondary structure includes four short double-helical elements and three loops (D, anti-codon, and T loops). Further hydrogen bonds mediate the characteristic L-shaped molecular structure. tRNAs have two regions of fundamental functional importance: the anti-codon, which is responsible for specific mRNA codon recognition, and the 3' end, to which the tRNAs corresponding amino acid is attached (by aminoacyl-tRNA synthetases). tRNAs cope with the degeneracy of the genetic code in two manners: having more than one tRNA (with a specific anti-codon) for a particular amino acid; and 'wobble' base-pairing, i.e. permitting non-standard base-pairing at the 3rd anti-codon position. Lineage: Archaea; Nanobdellati; Candidatus Aenigmatarchaeota. The record is from RNAcentral.